GAAUGGGCUGGGAGGGCUGGGGAGUGCCGCGGUUUUUCAAUAGCUUUAGCGGAGCUUCAGGAGUGUGCGGAAUCCUGGAGCAAGUUCUCAGGCCUGUUUGGGUGGCGCGGGAGCGCAUGGGUGUGGCGCUCCAUGCUGGCUUUAUGACCUGAAUGAUGGGAUCUCCCAGGGUGUCCUCCAACUCCAACAAACGCUACGUAGCUGAAGAUGCCCUUGAACUCCUGAUCCUCCUGCCUCCAACUCCCAAAUUGCUGUCACUUCAGAGAUUUGCCAUCUCACCUGACCUCAAAGUCGAUAUUUUUUUAAAUCGAUAAGUUUGAUUGGUUUCAAGGGUAUUUCAGGUGGAUCUGAAUUUUACUCGUGGCUUCGCAUUAGGAAAGUUACAGUGUCAUUUUCUCUCUGUGACUGUGAUAGUUUGAAAGAAAACAUCCCCCAAAGGAAGUGGCACUAUUAGUAGGUGUGACUUUGCUGGAGUAGAUAUGGCCUUGUUGGAGGAAGUGUGCCACUGUGGGGGUGGGCUCUGAGGUGUUCUUUGCUUAAGCUAUGCUCAAUGUGGUAAGUAGUUCACUUCCUGUCACCAAUGGGCCAAGAACUCUCCAUCCUUCUCCAGCACCAUGUCUGCCUGCAUGCCUGCCAUGCUUCUCGUCAUGAAAAUAAUG
Non-coding RNA from Myodes glareolus (Bank vole), 659 nucleotides. The record is from RefSeq and is a predicted model, not a curated record. Lineage: Eukaryota; Metazoa; Chordata; Mammalia; Rodentia; Cricetidae.